Cygnus atratus (black swan) is the source of this 2908-nucleotide long non-coding RNA. RefSeq lists it as uncharacterized. The record is from RefSeq and is a predicted model, not a curated record. NCBI's taxonomy places the organism in Eukaryota, Metazoa, Chordata, Aves, Anseriformes, Anatidae. The transcript has 3 exons.
GCCUUCAGAGAGGCCCUGUCAUGCAUCUUGAGAGCGAGAAGGUGAGAGUCUUGGGAAAGGAUUAGGAACACUGCCUGCUCUUUGCUCCUUAACUUUCAUCUUCUGUAAAACUGGUUCUGGUGUGAUGAAGGAACUGAGCUAUUUGAUGGGUUUAGCAAAUUUCAGAUUGCGUUUGUUCCCAGGUGCUGCUAUAUCCAGGGAAAAGAACCCUUGCAACCCCUUGUGAGUACCGAGUGAGCGAGCACACGCGGGUAUGUAGGCGCUUGGAAUUACUUCUAACUGGCUCUUCCAUAUGCAGCUUUUAUGGUCUAGGUUGGGUUUGUGCAUCUCUAGAAUGAUGCUGGUCUACUUCUGACGAUUUGGCCACUGUUUAAGACAGUCUGCAGAUCUGCUGGUGACACACUUCCACCUACUUAACAUACUUGCACAAAUGUAUGCAUGUGUUCUGUGAUAACUUCUGUUCAGACACCUUCCAGCAGAUUUUGCUCAUCUUCAGUGUCUUUCUGUGUGAUGUGUUGGAUUCUGACUGUCAUGCAGUGGACUUGAGAAUUAGUCCCCAAUGAGGAAGAGCAGAAGAAAAUUUUUUCUUCCUCUCUCCAUUGUAAAGGAGCAGAAUCAGCGGGCGUCUGUCCUGUCACUUCCUCCUCCUCUUCUCAGAAGCUGGAAGACUGCAGUUCCCUGCUCCCACAUCCUCAUCUCUACUCAGAUGUGUGCAACUAUUGAUGAUUAUAACAAGUCAUUUUUUUCAAGUCCAGGGUUCUUCAGGUGAAUUCCACCAAGGCUGUGAUAGCUCCUAAGUUGUGCCCUAACUGUCUGAAGAGGAACCAUCCUAGAACAAUUCUUAGGAGGAGGACUUUUGGCUCUGGGUGCAGCCCCGGCUCCGUGAAGCUGCUGGUGGUGAAAUUCCUGCUGACUCCGGAGAUUGGAAAGACAUGGGGGAAGGCCAAGAGUUGAAGGCCAGGGAAGCCCUGUUCCCACUGCUCUAGGAGGCCUUAGCUGCUGUUAUCUGCCAGAAGCUGGGGGCAUGGGGCAGGUCUGAAGAUGGCUGUUCUCAACACAAAGCACCUGCAGCCACCCCACCUGUUCUCCAGUGUGUCUCCGCGUCUGCAGGUGGAAACUCACCUGCGCGUGAUGCCCAUACUGUGGUCUCCACAGGUGUUAUUCUGCAUCUUCCAUAGGCUCCAAAAUCUCAACCCCUUUCCUGGAGGCAAGGAAAAGGACCAGAACCGCUUGAUUUAACACUUUGCAGCUUUCAUGACAGGGUAAAGAAGCCUGUGAGGUAUUACAUGUGUAAGGAGAUAAUGCUGUCAUUCCUGUUCUGUUCCUCAUCCUUCUCUCAAGUUUUUGCAGGGUUGUUGCCUUGUACAUCUCUGUCUUGGGCAGAUGGCUUGUGCCAGAGUAAAAAGGGAAAACUUUUUAAAGUAUUAGGAGCAGACUGGAGCAGGAGAAAGGUGAGAUUUGUAUGGCAGAGGGGUGAUUUGAUGUAGUGAGCGUGGCAGCUGUGGUCAUUUCUCUCUUGUCCAUGCACUGCUUUGACCCUGCCCUACAUCCCCGAAGCCUUUACACCUCAUCUGUCUCCAGGGCUCAGAAAUAUGAACUGGAGCCUCGCUGUGGUUCAUGGCUUACCUACAAAAAAAAAAAUAACCAAAGAGCAACUAUCGUUGUUCGUAAGCCUCUGUCAUGGCACAGCUUGAUGACAGGGAGGUGAGGAGCACGAGGGACCUGUUCAGGAUGGGUGGUGUUCCCCACGUGGCUGGGAGAUAAGGCAGAGCCCUGGCCGCAUGACUGUGAAAUAACGUCUGGCAUGCAGCAGCUCUGACUGCAGGUACAGACCGCGGUAGCUGGAUGGGCAGACGGGGGAAAAACCCAGAAGAAUUUGAAAAUCUGCUCAAAAAAAACUGUUGGCUCUCUGCACGUUGCACUAGAAGAAACUGCACACGUAACAGUUCGAGUAACAAGCCCUAAGAGGCCACACCGCGAGAUCAAAGAUUUUUUUGGCGUGAUGUACCAGUGAUGAAAACUGCCGGAGGAUGUCGCAGUCGAUGACUUAAGGAUGGAAUUUCCACACUGCUUGUGAGCCCUCUUGGUUAUGCAGGGUGACGCCAGCCCUUCAGGGUUACUUGAACACUGAUGGUUUUGUAACAGCCUUUAACAUGCAGCCACUGCAUUUUGUUUUGGAGCUCAGCGCUCCUAUCUCGGGAGUGAAUUUGUGACGUAUCCAUGUUCCUGUCCAGGAAAUGUGAGAAAUCCUCGCCUGUUCCUGUACGGUCAGAGGAGGCUGAGGAGAGAGGAGGGCUUGGAUAGUUCUCAGAAUGAAUGAAUGAAUCUGCCCAGAGAUGUUACGUUGUCUGUUUCUGGGUGCUCUUUGGAGCACAUCCAGAGAUGGAUUUAAUCUUACAGGAAUGAGGAGCUGUAAAUAACUCAGAUGUUUGCGGUGCCCAGUUGUGUUGCUCUGAUGUUGAUUCUGGUUGCUCUCUGAGCAGAGACAAGCAGAAGUGUGCUGGUAGGUAGCGUUGCAGUAACACAAGCAGUUAACGCUUCUGCAAGAGGUUAAUGUGUCUGGGUGUCUGCUUUAAAGGUGGGCAUUUCAAGUCUCACCUGCUCUUCUGAAGCACUGGGUGAAUGUGUUUAAAGCUGUUCAAAGGGGACAGUGGGGGGAGUAGGCUGCCCCAGCCUUAAAUUCAGGAUUUUGGUUCCUGAUGUUGUUGGUAUUUUCACAGGGUCACCCGAGGUCAUUCUUAUUGUAACUUCUUGGAGGACUUCUAAGCUAUUUAUUACAUACAUGAAAUAUGUCCCCCUAUAAUAGACAGACAUUAUGGUUUUGCAGUGACUCAUGGGACUAACACUUCUGUUUCAUUCUUGGAAUGGUUUGCAAACCUCUGGUCAAAUAAAAGCUAAGCUGGACACU